AAGUCGAGGGGCAGCGCGGGGCGGCAACGUCCUGGCGGCGACCGGCGGAAGGGUGCGUAACGCGUGAGCGACAUGCCCGUUGCCCGUGGACAACCGGUGGAAACGCCGACUAAUCCACGAUGGGAUAUUGUGCCGCAUGGCACGAUAUUGAAAGUUACGGCGGCGACGGAUUGGCUCGCGUCCGAUUAGCUUGUUGGCGGGGUAACGGCCCACCAAGGCUGCGAUCGGUAGGGGUUCUGAGAGGAAGGCCCCCACAAUGGGACUGAGACACGGCCCAUACUCC
Molecule: ribosomal RNA, 283 nt
Filed under: uncultured bacterium
Lineage: Bacteria
Description: partial 16S ribosomal RNA
Rfam family: Bacterial small subunit ribosomal RNA
Source: RNAcentral